This 460-nucleotide ribosomal RNA is filed under the name uncultured bacterium. RNAcentral describes it as "partial 16S ribosomal RNA". It matches the Rfam family "Bacterial small subunit ribosomal RNA", at positions 338 to 795 of the family's 1533-position model. The record is from RNAcentral.
CCUACGGGAGGCUGCAGUGAGGAAUAUUGGUCAAUGGGCGAGAGCCUGAACCAGCCAAGUCGCGUGCAGGAUGAAGGACCUAUGGUUUGUAAACUUCUUUUAUACGGGAAUAAAGUGAGGAACGUGUUCCUUUUUGUAUGUACCAUAUGAAUAAGCAUCGGCUAAUUCCGUGCCAGCAGCCGCGGUAAUACGGAGGAUGCGAGCGUUAUCCGGAUUUAUUGGGUUUAAAGGGUGCGUAGGUGGUUAAUUAAGUCAGCGGUGAAAGUUUGUGGCUCAACCAGGACAUUGCCGGUGAAACUGGUUGACUUGAGUAUAUUGGAGGUAGGCGGAAUGCGUGGUGUAGCGGUGAAAUGCAUAGAUAUCACGAAGAACUCCGAUUGCGAAGGCAGCUUACAAAACUAUAACUGACGCUGAAGCACGAAAGCGUGGGGAUCAAACAGGAUUAGAUACCCGGGUAGUC